CCUGGCUCAGGAUGAACGCUGGCGGCGUGCCUAAUACAUGCAAGUCGAACGCACAGCGAAAGGUGCUUGCACCUUUCAAGUGAGUGGCGAACGGGUGAGUAACACGUGGACAACCUGCCUCAAGGCUGGGGAUAACAUUUGGAAACAGAUGCUAAUACCGAAUAAAACUUAGUGUCGCAUGACACAAAGUUAAAAGGCGCUUCGGCGUCACCUAGAGAUGGAUCCGCGGUGCAUUAGUUAGUUGGUGGGGUAAAGGCCUACCAAGACAAUGAUGCAUAGCCGAGUUGAGAGACUGAUCGGCCACAUUGGGACUGAGACACGGCCCAAACUCCUACGGGAGGCUGCAGUAGGGAAUCUUCCACAAUGGGCGAAAGCCUGAUGGAGCAACGCCGCGUGUGUGAUGAAGGCUUUCGGGUCGUAAAGCACUGUUGUAUGGGAAGAACAGCUAGAAUAGGAAAUGAUUUUAGUUUGACGGUACCAUACCAGAAAGGGACGGCUAANUACGU
Molecule: ribosomal RNA, 506 nt
Filed under: Leuconostoc mesenteroides
Lineage: Bacteria; Bacillati; Bacillota; Bacilli; Lactobacillales; Lactobacillaceae
Description: bacterial SSU rRNA
Rfam family: Bacterial small subunit ribosomal RNA
Source: RNAcentral